RNAcentral lists this ribosomal RNA (540 nucleotides) under Betta tussyae. Its description in RNAcentral is "partial 16S ribosomal RNA". It matches the Rfam family "Bacterial large subunit ribosomal RNA", at positions 1856 to 2597 of the family's 2925-position model. Lineage: Eukaryota; Metazoa; Chordata; Actinopteri; Anabantiformes; Osphronemidae. The record is from RNAcentral.
CGCCUGCCCUGUGACAAAAGGUUCAACGGCCGCGGUAUUUUGACCGUGCAAAGGUAGCGCAAUCACUUGUCCUUUAAAUGAAGACCUGUAUGAAUGGCAUCACGAGGGCUUAGCUGUCUCCUUUUUCCAGUCAAUGAAAUUGAUCCCCCCGUGCAGAAGCGGGGAUAAAACCAUAAGACGAGAAGACCCUAUGAAGCUUUAGACGCAAGACAGACCUUGUUAAACACUUCAAAAUAAAGAAAUAAACUAAGAGAAUCCUGUUCUGAUGUCUUUGGUUGGGGCGACCACGGGGAAACAAUAAACCCCCAUGCGGACUGAGAAAACAAUUCUCACAACCAAGAGCCGCAGCUCUAGUUAACAGAACUUCUGACCUUUAGAUCCGGCAAUGCCGAUCAACGGACCGAGUUACUCUAGGGAUAACAGCGCAAUCCCCUUUUAGAGUCCCUAUCGACAAGGGGGUUUACGACCUCGAUGUUGGAUCAGGACAUCCUAAUGGUGCAGCAGCUAUUAAGGGUUCGUUUGUUCAACGAUUAAAGUCCU